RNAcentral lists this ribosomal RNA (467 nucleotides) under uncultured bacterium. RNAcentral describes it as "partial 16S ribosomal RNA". It matches the Rfam family "Bacterial small subunit ribosomal RNA", at positions 28 to 507 of the family's 1533-position model. The record is from RNAcentral.
GACGAACGCUGGCGGCGUGCUUAACACAUGCAAGUCGAACGGAAAGGCCCUGCUUUUGUGGGGUGCUCGAGUGGCGAACGGGUGAGUAACACGUGAGUACCUGCCCUUGACUUUGGGAUAACUUCAGGAAACUGGGGCUAAUACCGGAUAGGAGCUCCUGCUGCAUGGUGGGGGUUGGAAAGUUUCGGCGGUUGGGGAUGGACUCGCGGCUUAUCAGCUUGUUGGUGGGGUAGUGGCUUACCAAGGCUUUGACGGGUAGCCGGCCUGAGAGGGUGACCGGCCACAUUGGGACUGAGAUACGGCCCAGACUCCUACGGGAGGCAGCAGUGGGGAAUAUUACACAAUGGGCGGAAGCCUGAUGCAGCAACGCCGCGUGCGGGAUGACGGCCUUCGGGUUGUAAACCGCCUUCGCCUGUGACGAAGCGUGAGUGACGGUAAUGGGUAAAGAAGCACCGGCUAACUACGUG